Molecule: ribosomal RNA, 482 nt
Filed under: uncultured bacterium
Lineage: Bacteria
Description: partial 16S ribosomal RNA
Rfam family: Bacterial small subunit ribosomal RNA
Source: RNAcentral
AUUGAACGCUGGCGGCAUGCUUUACACAUGCAAGUCGAACGGUAACAGGCCGCAAGGUGCUGACGAGUGGCGAACGGGUGAGUAAUGCAUCGGAACGUGCCCAGUCGUGGGGGAUAACUACUCGAAAGAGUAGCUAAUACCGCAUACGAUCUAUGGAUGAAAGCGGGGGACCGUAAGGCCUCGCGCGAUUGGAGCGGCCGCUGUCAGAUUAGGUAGUUGGUGGGGUACAGGCUCACCAAGCCAACGAUCUGUAGCUGGUCUGAGAGGACGACCAGCCACACUGGGACUGAGACACGGCCCAGACUCCUACGGGAGGCAGCAGUGGGGAAUUUUGGACAAUGGGCGCAAGCCUGAUCCAGCAAUGCCGCGUGCAGGAAGAAGGCCUUCGGGUUGUAAACUGCUUUUGUACGGAACGAAACGGCUCUGGUUAAUACCCGGGGCUAAUGACGGUACCGUAAGAAUAAGCACCGGCUAACUACGUG